ACAACGGAGAGUUUGAUCCUGGCUCAGGACGAACGCUGGCGGCGUGCCUAACACAUGCAAGUCUGGGAGAAUUGGGUAGCAAUAUCCAUAGUAAACCGGCGCACGGGUGAGUAAUCUGUAGGUAACCUGCCCUUUGGUCUGGGAUAACCCCGCGAAAGCGGUGCUAAUACCGGAUGAUGCAGCGGCUCCGCAUGGAGAUGUUGUUAAAGCCUUCGGGCGCCAAUGGAUGGGCCUGCAUCCCAUUAGGUUGUUGGUGAGGUAACGGCCCACCAAGCCUGCGAUGGGUAGCUGAUCUGAGAGGAUGAUCAGCCACACUGGAACUGAGACACGGUCCAGACUCCUACGGGAGGCAGCAGUGAGGAAUAUUGCGCAAUGGACGAAAGUCUGACGCAGCGACGCCGCGUGAAGGAUGAAGGCCCUUUGGGUCGUAAACUUCUGUAGAGAGGGAAGAAUGUCCCGUUUCAACGGGAUUGACGGUACCUCUAAAGUAAGGAUCGGCCAACUACGUGCCAGCAGCCGCGGUAAUACGUAGGAUCCGAGCGUUGUCCGGAAUCACUGGGUGUAAAGGGAGCGCAGGCGGGUUUUCAAGUCGGUGGUGAAAUUUUACAGCUCAACUGUAAAACUGCCUCCGAUACUGAAGAUCUUGAGUGUGGAAGAGGGCGAUGGAAUUCAUGGUGUAGCGGUGAAAUGCGUAGAUAUCAUGAAGAACACCAGUUGCGAAGGCGGUCGCCUGGUCCACUACUGACGCUCAUGCUCGAAAGUGUGGGGAGCAAACAGGAUUAGAUACCCUGGUAGUCCACACCUUAAACGAUGAAUACUUGGUGUCGGGCCGUAAGGCUCGGUGCCAAAGCCAACGCAUUAAGUAUUCCACCUGGGAAGUACGAUCGCAAGGUUGAAACUCAAAGGAAUUGACGGGGGCCCGCACAAGCAGUGGAGCAUGUGGUUCAAUUCGAUGCAACGCGAAGAACCUUACCUGGGUUUGAAAGGCAAGAUUCUAGCCGAUGAAAGUCGGUUACCCGCAAGGGGUCUUGUACAGGUGCUGCAUGGCUGUCGUCAGCUCGUGCCGUGAGGUGUUAGGUUAAGUCCUGCAACGAGCGCAACCCCUACAUUUAGUUGCUAUCAGGUAAUGCUGGGCACUCUAAAUGGACUGCCUACGCAAGUAGUGAGGAAGGUGGGGAUGACGUCAAGUCCUCAUGGCCCUUACACCCAGGGCCACACACGUGCUACAAUGGGCGCCACAAAGGGCUGCAAUACCGUAAGGUGGAGCCAAUCCCAAAAAAGCGUCCUCAGUUCGGAUUGAGGGCUGCAACUCGCCCUCAUGAAGCUGGAAUUGCUAGUAAUCGUAGAUCAGAACGCUACGGUGAAUACGUUCCCGGGCCUUGUACACACCGCCCGUCAAGCCAUGGAAGCUGAGGGUACCCGAAGCCGCUGUGCUAACCGCAAGGAGGCAGGCGUCUAAGGUAAAAUCAGUGACUGGGGCUAAGUCGUAACAAGGUAGCCGUAUCGGAAGGUGCGGCUGGAUCACCUCCUUU
This 1532-nucleotide ribosomal RNA is filed under the name Bacteroidota bacterium. RNAcentral describes it as "bacterial SSU rRNA". It matches the Rfam family "Bacterial small subunit ribosomal RNA". The record is from RNAcentral. Lineage: Bacteria; Pseudomonadati; Bacteroidota.